UGGGGAAUCUUGCGCAAUGGCCGAAAGACUGACGCAGCGACGCCGCGUGGAGGAUGACGCCCUUCGGGGUGUAAACUCCUGUUGCCCGGGACGAAUACCCGUUUCGACGGGGGUGACGGUACCGGGUGAGGAAGCACCGGCUAACUCUGUGCCAGCAGCCGCGGUAAUACAGAGGGUGCGAGCGUUGUUCGGAUUUACUGGGCGUAAAGGGCGCGUAGGCGGCGCGGUAAGUCACUUGUGAAAUCUCUGAGCUUAACUCAGAACGGCCAAGUGAUACUGCUGUGCUAGAGUGCAGGAGAGGAGAGUGGAAUUCCUAGUGUAGCGGUGAAAUGCGUAGAGAUUAGGAAGAACACCAGUGGCGAAGGCGACUCUCUGGACUGUAACUGACGCUGAGGCUCGAAAGCGUGGGGAGCAAACA
RNAcentral lists this ribosomal RNA (418 nucleotides) under uncultured bacterium. RNAcentral describes it as "bacterial SSU rRNA". It matches the Rfam family "Bacterial small subunit ribosomal RNA", at positions 355 to 774 of the family's 1533-position model. The record is from RNAcentral.